This is a long non-coding RNA of Lagopus muta (rock ptarmigan), 1400 nucleotides long. RefSeq lists it as uncharacterized. Lineage: Eukaryota; Metazoa; Chordata; Aves; Galliformes; Phasianidae. The transcript is spliced from 3 exons. The record is from RefSeq and is a predicted model, not a curated record.
AACUUUUAUUUUUUUAAUCAUAAGGGUUUUUUUCUAAUAUAUUUCUCAUCCCCCAGGUACAAUAUAUCUAAUAUAAAACUAGACAACAACAUGCAGAAGUGCUCAAAGUUUUUAUAAAUGAAAAUAGAAGUGCUUCUCCCAGGUUUACCAAAUUAGAAUCAGAACUUCAGCUCUGAAUGCUGGGAGAAAGAAAACCCCAUUCUGUCAUCGCUGAAGGUGUGAUUGCAAUGCGAAGAGCCCUGUAAUCCAGGAACAACUUGUGAAUGUGGGAGAGGAAACGACCACUCAGCCAUGCAUGCUGUACUUAUAUGACAUUUCUUCAAGAUGUGAAAGAUGUUAAGAAGAACUAUCUGCUGAAUAAAAAGAAAUAAAUUGAAAACAAAGCUCGUACGUUGUAUGGAAUGCAGUGAAGCUGCAAGCCCACCCUUUUCAAGGAGUGGGGAGGAUUAGGAGGCACCACUUCUACAGCACCCAACCUGUUCUGCAUGCUGUGAUUUAAAUAUUCUGGAAAGUACCAGAGACACUCAAUUCAUUUCAUCUUGAAAACUGCGAAGGAAGAGGAUAGUUUGUAGGUACCAGGAAUGGGCUCUCAUUGAAAUACAGUCCCAGCGUUUCUCAGCUGAGAGUUUCCUGCUCACCCUGUGCAGUCUGUAGGAAGCAGGACACAGGGGCAAUGUAAAGUUGGAGCUCCAGAUGCCAGGGCCUGCAGCUGCCUCUGCUCAGGGUCAGCCCACAGCACACGGCUGCCUCAGGGCCCCCAGGGCCCCAGGAAGCCACAGGUGCCAACGCGUCUGCAUUGCACAACUUGGAUUCUGGGCACACCGAGAAGCCUGUGGUCCUGAAGCUCUGCAGGUGAACUGGUGGGAAGACUGAGUUUGGACUGCAAUUCAUCCAAGGUUCAUCAAACCAGGCACAUUUUUUACAAAGUGGAUUGAUUUUGACUGAUAAACCAUUUCUGGACUGAAAAACAAGAUAAAGAAAUUGUUGGAGAGCUCUCAGCUGGGUCCUUGCCUGUGGUAUUUGCUGAAAACAGAGGAGGCCAAAAGAGUUCAGAUCACCAACACGGGGAAUGUGUUGGCUGAAGAGACAUCCAUGGACUAAGAUCAAGAUGUUUCAAUCAAUCUCCAGAGGCCUGCUGGUGUCACCAUUUGGGCCAUGUACGCAGCUUCUUCAUUCCUUCAGGAGCACAGCGCUGCACUGCCCCAUGCCCACAUCAUGGCAGCAGUGUCUGCCCUGCGCCCACAACAUGGCAGCAGCUGUUGCUCCAUGCCCACGACGUGACAAUAGUGUUUGCUGUGCACCCACGACAUGGCGGCAGUGGCUGCCCCAAGCCCUCAACAUGGCAGCUGCAGUUUCCCUGUGCCCACAGCAUGGCAGCUGAGGUUUCCUUGUGCCCACAA